RNAcentral lists this ribosomal RNA (822 nucleotides) under uncultured Bacillota bacterium. RNAcentral describes it as "bacterial SSU rRNA". It matches the Rfam family "Bacterial small subunit ribosomal RNA", at positions 63 to 866 of the family's 1533-position model. The record is from RNAcentral. Lineage: Bacteria; Bacillati; Bacillota.
CGAACGCGACUUGGGCUUCGGCCUAAGUUGAGUGGCGAACGGGUGAGUAACACGUGGGUGACCUACCUUCGAGUGGGGGAUAACGUCCCGAAAGGGACGCUAAUACCGCAUAACAUCCUGCCUUUGAACAGGUGGAGAUCAAAGCCGGGGAUCGCAAGACCUGGCGCUUGAUGAGGGGCCCGCGCCUGAUUAGCUAGUUGGUGGGGUAAUGGCCUACCAAGGCGACGAUCAGUAUCCGGCCUGAGAGGGCGGACGGACACACUGGGACUGAGACACGGCCCAGACUCCUACGGGAGGCAGCAGUGGGGAAUUGUUCGCAAUGGGCGCAAGCCUGACGACGCAACGCCGCGUGGAGGAUGAAGGUCUUCGGAUUGUAAACUCCUGUUGCUCGGGACGAAAAGCUUCGACCUAACACGUCGAAGUCUGACGGUACCGAGUGAGGAAGCCCCGGCUAACUCUGUGCCAGCAGCCGCGGUAAUACAGAGGGGGCAAGCGUUGUUCGGAAUUACUGGGCGUAAAGGGCGCGUAGGCGGCCUGCUAAGUCGAACGUGAAAUCCCUGGGCUCAACCCAGGAACUGCGUCCGAUACUGGUUGGCUUGAAUCCGGGAGAGGGAUGUGGAAUUCCAGGUGUAGCGGUGAAAUGCGUAGAUAUCUGGAGGAACACCGGUGGCGAAGGCGACAUCCUGGACCGGCAUUGACGCUGAGGCGCGAAAGCCAGGGGAGCAAACGGGAUUAGAUACCCCGGUAGUCCUGGCCCUAAACGAUGAAUGCUUGGUGUGGUGGGUAUCGAUCCCUACCGUGCCGAAGCUAACGCAUUAAGCA